AUUGAACGCUGGCGGCAUGCCUUACACAUGCAAGUCGAACGGUAACGGGCCUUCGGGUGCCGACGAGUGGCGAACGGGUGAGUAAUACAUCGGAACGUGCCCGAUCGUUGUGGAUAACGAGGCUAAAGCUUUGCUAAUACCCCAUACGAUCUACGGAUUAAAGCAGGGUACUGCAAGGCCUUGCUCGGACCGUGCUGCCGAUGGCAGAUUAGUUAGUUGUUGGGAUAAAAGUUUACCAAGCCCACGAUCUCGAGCUGGUCUGAUAGGAUGAUCAGCCACACUGGAACUGAGACACGGCCCAGACGCCUACGGGAGGCAGCAGUGGGGAAUUUUGGACAAUGGGCGCAAGCCUGAUCCAGCCAUGCCGCGUGCAGGAUGAAGGCCUUCGGGUUGUAAACUGCUUUUGUACGGAACGAAAAGCCUUCUUUUAAUACAGGAGGGUCAUGACGGUACCGUAAGAAUAAGCACCGGCUAACUACGUG
This 482-nucleotide ribosomal RNA is filed under the name uncultured bacterium. Its description in RNAcentral is "partial 16S ribosomal RNA". It matches the Rfam family "Bacterial small subunit ribosomal RNA", at positions 30 to 507 of the family's 1533-position model. The record is from RNAcentral.